Molecule: microRNA, 20 nt
Filed under: Physcomitrium patens
Lineage: Eukaryota; Viridiplantae; Streptophyta; Bryopsida; Funariales; Funariaceae
Description: ppt-miR395
Gene: ppt-miR395
Source: miRBase by way of RNAcentral
CUGAAGCGUUUGGGGGAAGG